UUGUUGACUUUCGAAAUAAAUAACAAAGUUUUUGUUGACUUGUCAUUUGAGUCAUGUCGUUAAGUAGGUUAACAAAAAAAAUUUACGGCGUUAAUGUCUCCUUUAUCUCCUCUGUUAGAACAAAAAAACGUUGUUUAUUGCAGUUCGUUUUGUCUGUUGACACAAAUUUAAACCCUAAAUCCCCAAAUCGAUUUUAUUAUCUGCGAUUUUGAAGUCAAUGUGGGUCUGUGAUUUUGAGAUAAUAAAAUCGAUUUGGAGAUUUAGGGUUUAUAUUUGUUUCAAGAGACAAAACAACGUUGUUUUGUCUCUUCAAUAAACGACGUUGUUUUGUUCUAACAGAUCAAAUAAACAUUAACACCGUAAAAAAAUUCUCUUAACCUAUUUAACGAUAUGACUCAAAUGGCAAGUCAACAAAAACUUUGUCAUUUAUUUCGAAAGUUAACAA
This 445-nucleotide microRNA precursor is filed under the name Arabidopsis thaliana (thale cress). RNAcentral's name for it is "miR5645a stem-loop (ath-MIR5645a)". The record is from miRBase by way of RNAcentral. Lineage: Eukaryota; Viridiplantae; Streptophyta; Magnoliopsida; Brassicales; Brassicaceae.